Gadus chalcogrammus (walleye pollock) is the source of this 381-nucleotide non-coding RNA. NCBI's taxonomy places the organism in Eukaryota, Metazoa, Chordata, Actinopteri, Gadiformes, Gadidae. The record is from the annotation of a RefSeq genome assembly.
AUGUUCUCUGUAGCUGUAGUGCUGCUGCUCCUGGCUGCUGGCUCUGGUGUGAUCUGUGAAAAGCUUACUCAGCCCGAGUCUCUGACUAUCCGACCUGGUCAACCUCUGACCAUCCACUGUCAGGUCUCUUAUUCUGUUAGUACCUUCGCCACAGCUUGGAUCAGAAAACCUGAAGGACACGGACUGGAAUGGAUAGGCGAUGAAGUAAAUCUGAAAGACUCCCUAGGUAGCAAAUUCAGUAUUUCUGUUGACGAGGCCAGCAACACAGCUACUUUACAAGGACAAAACAUGCAGCCUGGAGACUCAGCUGUGUAUUUCUGUGCCAGGCACCACAGCGUUACAAACUAUUAUGAAGCGUAUACAAAAACCCUUCAACCAUGA